Molecule: ribosomal RNA, 253 nt
Filed under: uncultured bacterium
Lineage: Bacteria
Description: partial 16S ribosomal RNA
Rfam family: Bacterial small subunit ribosomal RNA
Source: RNAcentral
UACGUAGGGGGCAAGCGUUGUCCGGAUUUAUUGGGCGUAAAGAGCGUGUAGGCGGCCAGAUAGGUCAGCUGUGAAAACUCGAGGCUCAACCUCGAGACGUCGGUUGAAACCAUCUGGCUAGAGUCCGGAAGAGGAGAGUGGAAUUCCUGGUGUAGCGGUGAAAUGCGUAGAUAUCGGGAGGAACACCUGUGGCGAAAGCGGCGCACUGGACCAUAACUGACGCUGAGGCGCGAAAGCUAGGGGAGCAAACAGG